CCUACGGGUGGCAGCAGUGGGGAAUAUUGCACAAUGGGGGAAACCCUGAUGCAGCGACGCCGCGUGAGUGAAGAAGUAAUUCGUUACGUAAAGCUCUAUCAGUAGGGAAGAAAUACUGACCUUACGGUCAGCAGACGGUACCUGAGUAAGAAGCCCAGGCUAACUACGGGCCAGCAGCCGCGGUAAUACGGAGGGGGCAAGCGUUAUCCGGAUUUACUGGGUGUAAAGGGAGCGUAGACGGUGCGCCAAGACUGGAGUGAAAUGCCGCAGCUUAACUGCGGAACUGCUGUGGAAACUGGCGAACUAGAGUGCGGGAGGGGUAGGCGGAAUUCGUAGUGUAGCGGUGAAAUGCGUAGAUAUUAGGAGGAACACCGGUGGCGAAGGCAGCUUACUGGACCGUAACUGACGUUGAGGCUCGAAAGCGUGGGGAGCAAACAGGAUUAGAUACCCUAGUAGUC
This 458-nucleotide ribosomal RNA is filed under the name uncultured bacterium. RNAcentral describes it as "partial 16S ribosomal RNA". It matches the Rfam family "Bacterial small subunit ribosomal RNA", at positions 338 to 795 of the family's 1533-position model. The record is from RNAcentral.